AUUCCAGCUCCAAUAGCGUAUAUUAAUGUUGUUGCAGUUAAAAAGCUCGUAGUCGGAUUUUUGUGUCAUGUCGAACUGUCUGCCGAUUGGUUUGUACGGUUUGACGGGCAUAUUCCUUCCAGAGGCUCCGUGAGGCCUUCAUUGGUUUCGCGGUUGAAUCUGGGUCUUUUACUUUGAAAAAAUUAGAGUGUUCAAAGCAGGCCUAUGCUCGAAUAGGUUAGCAUGGAAUAAUAGAAUAGGACUUCGGUCUUAUUUUGUUGGUUUCUAGGACCGAAGUAAUGAUUAACAGGGACAGUUGGGGGCAUUCAUAUUCCAUUGUCAGAGGUGAAAUUCUUGGAUUAACGGAAGAUGAACUUCUGCGAAAGCAUCUGCCAAGGAUGUUUUCAUCA
This 389-nucleotide ribosomal RNA is filed under the name Picozoa sp. RNAcentral describes it as "partial small subunit ribosomal RNA". It matches the Rfam family "Eukaryotic small subunit ribosomal RNA", at positions 582 to 975 of the family's 1831-position model. Lineage: Eukaryota; Picozoa. The record is from RNAcentral.